GACGAACGCUGGCGGCGCGCCUAACACAUGCAAGUCGAACGAGCGAGAGGAGGUUUACUUUCUCAAGCGAGUGGCGAACGGGUGAGUAACGCGUGAGGAACCUGCCUCAAAGAGGGGGACAACAGUUGGAAACGACUGCUAAUACCGCAUAAGCCCACGGCUCGGCAUCGAGCAGAGGGAAAAGGAGCAAUCCGCUUUGAGAUGGCCUCGCGUCCGAUUAGCUGGUUGGUGAGGUAACGGCCCACCAAGGCGACGAUCGGUAGCCGGACUGAGAGGUUGAACGGCCACAUUGGGACUGAGACACGGCCCAGACUCCUACGGGAGGCAGCAGUGGGGAAUAUUGCACAAUGGGGGAAACCCUGAUGCAGCGACGCCGCGUGGAGGAAGAAGGUCUUCGGAUUGUAAACUCCUGUUGUUGAGGAAGAUAAUGACGGUACUCAACAAGGAAGUGACGGCUAACUACGUGCCAGCAGCCGCGGUAAAACGUAGGUCACAAGCGUUGUCCGGAAUUACUGGGUGUAAAGGGAGCGCAGGCGGGAAGACAAGUUGGAAGUGAAAUCCAUGGGCUCAACCCAUGAACUGCUUUCAAAACUGUUUUUCUUGAGUAGUGCAGAGGUAGGCGGAAUUCCCGGUGUAGCGGUGGAAUGCGUAGAUAUCGGGAGGAACACCAGUGGCGAAGGCGGCCUACUGGGCACCAACUGACGCUGAGGCUCAAAAGUGUGGGUAGCAAACAGGAUUAGAUACCCUGGUAGUCCACACUGUAAACGAUGAUUACUAGGUGUUGGAGGAUUGACCCCCUCAGUGCCGCAGUUAACACAAUAAGUAAUCCACCUGGGGAGUACGACCGCAAGGUUGAAACUCAAAGGAAUUGACGGGGGCCCGCACAAGCAGUGGAGUAUGUGGUUUAAUUUGACGCAACGCGAAGAACCUUACCAAGUCUUGACAUCCUGCGACGGUGCUGGAAACAGUACUUUCCUUCGGGACGCAGAGACAGGUGGUGCAUGGUUGUCGUCAGCUCGUGUCGUGAGAUGUUGGGUUAAGUCCCGCAACGAGCGCAACCCUUAUGGUCAGUUACUACGCAAGAGGACUCUGGCCAGACUGCCGUUGACAAAACGGAGGAAGGUGGGGAUGACGUCAAAUCAUCAUGCCCCUUAUGACUUGGGCUACACACGUACUACAAUGGCGUUAAACAAAGAGAAGCAAGACCGCGAGGCGGAGCAAAACUCAGAAACAACGUCCCAGUUCGGACUGCAGGCUGCAACUCGCCUGCACGAAGUCGGAAUUGCUAGUAAUCGCAGAUCAGCAUGCUGCGGUGAAUAAAAGGCCGGGCCUUGCACA
This 1338-nucleotide ribosomal RNA is filed under the name uncultured bacterium. RNAcentral describes it as "bacterial SSU rRNA". It matches the Rfam family "Bacterial small subunit ribosomal RNA", at positions 28 to 1387 of the family's 1533-position model. The record is from RNAcentral.